GUUAAAUUAUAUUGAAUAAUAGAAUAACGCAUUAGCAUUGCUCUGUUAAAAGUUGAUAAGUACUUCAAUAUUUUAAAUUUACACCUGCAAUUUUUGUUUGCUCGUGAUUGAAUUAUUAAUGUUGUAAAAUGUGAAAGUUUAACUCUGUACUCAAUUUGAUUUGUUAAACUAUGUUUCUGCGGCCGUGUAUUAACUCUUAACCCGAUGCAUUAUGCAAUUAUGCAAUUAUGCAAUUUUAUGAAAUAUUAAUAUUUUAUAGUAAAAUAAUUUUUGAAUACUACUUUUAACAGUGGUUAUUGUAUCUUAAUAAUGAUGUUAAUUUUAUAAUCAAAAACCAUGAACCAAACAAAAUGAUAAAACCUUUAUUUUUAUCUUAUCUAUGAAUUAAAUAAAGUUAAUAAAUAUUUUGAAUUUACGUGAAAAAGGGACAUGAACGGAACUAUUGAAAACGGAGAGCAGAUCUAAAAAGUAGGACAAUCUCUCCUCUCCAAUGUAGUACGUCUAGGUCACACUGACGAGAAUAAAUCGGAAAUUCGAAUAUCAUAAGUUAUAAUACUUAUAUAACUUAUAACCGUUUUUCCGUAAACGAGUAUACGUCUUAUUUACUUAAAAGUUAUGUUUUUCCUGAUUUAUUGUACAAUAAAACAUUCAUGAUAAACUUAUAUAAAUUAGUGGACAAGGAAAAUAAUAUUAUUAUUAUCAACAAACGAACAUAAUCCUAUCGACAUUAUUAUUAUUAAUUAAUUCACCGUUUACAUUGACCUGACAACAUAAUGUAUAGCUCUUGAAAUUAGCCAAGUCCGCGCGUUAAUACGUUUUUAAUCGACGAGUGAUUAACUACGAUCUCGUCCGUAUGACGUUUCCGAGAACAUAGCCCAAGUCCGGAGGAGAGUUUUCUAGGAAGACACGCGCGCGACUUGUUAUAAAUAUAGAAAAACGCGUAGACUUUUAACCGACCGAUGUUUACGCGGACGCUUUGUCAGAAAACAAUAUGGUUCCCAUCAGAACCAUAUCAUUUUUAAAUUCACCAAUUUAUGAUGUUUUUUUUUUCAUAAUUUCUAAUAAUUUGUAAUUAUUUAAAACAUGUAAGUAUUGCAAUAUAAAAAUUGUCAUGAUUAAUUUUAGCUCAUUUAAAAAUAUGAAUAUGUGAAUUGUACUUUUUUAUUUUAACCACCAAUCGCAGGAAAUCGAUUUAUUUGACGACAAAAUAUUAUUAUUUAUUUAUUUGACCAAUUUCAUACGACAAAUUGACUGUAUCCUUUUACACGGAGUACCUAACCAUUGUGCAAUAGAUAAUAUUAUAUUGAUCGUCAUGAUGCAAGUGCAAAAUACAAAUUUUGUAAUUUACCAACAACUAUUAUUUAUUUCGGUAAAAUACGAAACACACGAUAAUAAUAAGAUAUUUUCGUCCUUGUUUAAUUAUUAUACAUCUACACAAUAAUAAUAUGAGUUUAUUCGUUAUAAAAUAGGUAUGUUAUGUUGAAAAAUAAAUGAUUGUUGCUCGUUGAACUAGAAAAAACUUACAAUCAACUCACACCAGGCACUUCGUGUAAUUAUGACCGUGCCAUAAAUGCUGUGUGUUCUCUGGAAAAUGCAUCGUUGAGACUGUUGAUUGACAUCAAAUUCCAAUGGAUCUACAUUCAUUACUCAUUAGCGAUAAUGCUAUGUAUUACGCGUUGAUGCUCGUUGAACAUUUAUUAGUGUUGAUUUAUUUCAGUUAUGUGAUACUAAUUUAAUUUUAUUGCAAUUUAUUUCUAUUUUUAGUGUUUUUUUUAAUCCAUUCAAGAAAUAGGGACACUAAUGAACAAUUCCAAAGCAAACUCUCUGAUGUAUGUGCAUAAUCUUUAUGGACCUAUACUUUUCAACCCGUAUAUGUAAUGCCUACCUACCGUGGUAAGCCGAGAAAAAUAAUAACAAAAAAUGAGCCUCGGGAAAUAAUACAAUUUCAUGCCAGGCCUCCCGGCGGACCUAGGGCCACCCCUCGCCACUGAUAAUAAUAUCGUAUAUUUGUUUUUUACAACACUGUCACGUACGCUGUACGACGUCUUUGUCGUGUUUCACAACUCACCAAGUGCCACCGAGGAAAACAAAAAUAAAAAAAAUCAUAAAACGGUGUUGUUGCUGCAGCUGAACGGUUAUUAUUUUCCUCGUUUACACAAUAUACACGUAGACCAAGAUCUAAUAUAUAAUAUACAAUAUGGUUCUUACAUAGUAUAUGGAAGUAUACGCACACACUUCGUCGUCAUAAUAUACAUGGAAAUAUUAUUAUAUUAUAUUAUGUAUUGAUAUUUAAAAGGAAAAAGAAACCAGUUAUGGUUGCCAGCGGACCGGAUCUCAUAUAGGGCCCCCUUUUGAUUUUAAUACUUUGUCAUAACUAUGUAGGUACGUAUUAAUCGUAUUAUACAUGGCAGAUAAUAAUAUAAUAUCAUAUAAUACCCACACACAUACACAAGUAUAAUAUAAUGUGCACGACGAUAGUAUUACACCCAGGGGCGACGGAUAUAGUGGUGGUGUCAGUGCCACUCUGGAGAAAUAUCUUAUAUUAUGUAUAUAUUCUUGCCAACCCUAAUCAACGGGACUCUUGAAGCUGUAUGAUUUUUUUUCAAAGCAAACAUCUGAAGUAAUUGAAUAAAAGACUUUUUCUCUUAUUAUGCAAUAGGUUGUAGAUAUAAAUACAUUUGAUUUAAACUCUUAUUAACCUAUUAUUGUAUGUUGACAAUAUAAUAAAUUUAAUAAUGAACGAGAUUUUUGAAGUGAUUAAAAAUGUACAUUUUAUUGAUAACAAUGAUUAUAUUGUUUAUAAUUUAUAUCUCAAAUAUCAAUAACCAACAACAGAUAAUACACUAUAUUAUAAUAAUAUCAAUGUAUGUAUAAUUGUAAUCGUAUCAUAUUAUUAUACUAUUAUUAUGUUGCACAAUGUUAAACAAUCAUUUUAAUCUUUAAUAAUAAUCUGGUUUCACAUGUUACUAUAUAAAUACGUUUUUCAAACUGCAAUUGUAAAUAUGAUAGCAGUUAUUGUUUGAAAUAUCACUAUACGACCACUGUUUUCAAAAAAUGUAAUUUACAACUCGUAAUAAAUACCUGUAGAUUCAGAAUAUUCGUAAAAAUCAAGAAUAAUUGUGUACCUACAACGGCUUUGACGUACUGGUGUAAAAAAGAAAGUGACCGAUUUCUACGAGUUUAUCUGAAUAGGUUCUUAAAGACCUUAUAUUAUACUUCCGGGAGAAAAUUAAAGCUCUUUUGGCUCAACCUACAUAGUGUAUAACAUAGUCGUCACACGGAAAAGGACGUAAUUCCGUUUCAGUUUUUUUGGAUAUAAUAUUUUAUGGUUAUGAAGUUUUCUCAUGAUGAAAAAGGCAUCAACUCUACUCUACGAAAUUGACCAUCCAACAGUACCAAGUUUCAACGAUAUAUUACGUCGUCCUAAAACUUGAAUUUAGAACAUAAAUAUCGGACAAGGACUUUACAUAUUUCAGACCGUCAAAAUUGUCUUCCGCAACGUUUAUGAUUACUUAUUAAUUAUUACUAUGUUUGUCGUUGAAAACUUUGAUAUUGUAAAAAUACCUAAGUAAUAGCUAAUAAGUAUAAUAUGAGUCUGCGACCCCGAUCGCGAUAAACUGGUCACGAUUUCUGCGGAGAUGGGUUUUUUUUUCUACCCGGUGCAGUUAUACAUGAGGUUUAAGUGGUGUACAACGCAGCCUCGCAGGUUAUAGGUACUUACACGUAUUUAUAAAUUAUUAUUAUAUUUUGUACCGUUUCUUGCCCGCGCGUUCUCCUCCUUGUCUCAACUUGUCGACCGCACGCGCACGCACACCAUACACACACACUUGCGUUAUCAUUGUGCACACGCACGCACGACCGUGUACAAUGGGGUCGGUUGAUCUCGGCGGGUCGUGUCAGCUACCGGUUUUUAUAAGUUUCCUGUCCGGAGAUUUAUGACAAGGGGACCGGCAACGAUAUCAUAUAUAUAUAAUAUUAUAUAUAGACAUAUAUAUAUAUAGGUAGCGUCCGCCGAGACACCACCUAUCGCUCGAGUUGGAGAUUUCAACCGUUCCGAGACGUCAGCGCGGUAGCAGCUCAAAAAAGGAUGUCGGCGGCGCGUUAUUUGUUUUCACUCUCCGUCCCACUGCAACAAUGAUAUGUGCAUUGUGAGCUCUUUUAAAAUUUUACUCAUAACCCCCAUCGUCAUAAUAUAAUAAUUGAAAUAUCGUAAAAAAAAGUCAACGCUGCUAUUGUAUUUUUUUGAUUUUAAAUUUGAUGGCAGUUAUUUCGCUCCAACAUAUUAUUAUAUAGAGAAAAUGAUACAACUAUACACAUUUUGUGAUGAUCUGGAUCCGCUGAACGUCGAUAUUUUAUUCCCAUCAAUGUCUCAAGUUUACUAUUGUUUGUUAAAAGGACGCCAUAUACCCACUGCGUUGUCUCCGUCUUACAAUCGAAUAAGUUUCAUAGCAAAAUAUGAUUCACAAAAUUAUUUAAAUCAAUUGAUUCAAAAAUGUACUAGUACAACUGUACAAGUAGGUAUAUAAAAUUUUAUAAGAUAAAAUAUAAUUCACAAAAUUAUUUAAAUUAAAUUGAUUCAAGAAUACAUAAGUACAACUGUACAAGUAGGCGUAUAACAUUUUAUAACAUAAUUUAUAGAUUUGAACAUUGUAAUAUAAUAUGACUAUAUUAUUAUAGUCGAAUAAAUUUCAUAGCAAAAUAUGAUUCACAAAAUUAUUUAAAUCAAUUGAUUCAAAAAUGUACUAUAGUACAACUGUACAAUCGAAUAAGUUUCAUGGCAAGCAAAAUAUGAUUCACAAAAUUAUUUCAAUUGACUGAUUCAAGAAUGUACAAGUACGACUGUACAAACCAUAUCAUGCACCGCAACAAAAGACGCGACGGGCGAAUUUCUUCGCCAGCUUCCACAACGAGCUACGUUUAAGUUUAACCUGGAUUACCUCUGGUUCUGUUACAGUCGUACUACUACGAGUCGAUGAGUUACGUGCAACUUUCAUCGGAACAGUACACUCGAUUUUGGUGUCAGAAAAUGCCUUAUCCGUGUAAUGCAGUGCUAUGUUCGGCAUUGAUUUCCACAAUCUUUUCUGAAAACCGGCGUGAUCUCGGCUCUUCGGGCCCGAUUCGCCCGAGCCAUCACGGUUUGGUACUACCGCAGAAACCUGUAGCCGAUCGAGGGAGACGGAUGGUAAUUGGAUCUCGACUUCCACGGUCGGAAGUUCGUUCAAUCCGGCGUUGUUUUCCGAUUUUAUCGGCGUUGGGCCAAAUCCAAUGGGUUCAUUGGAAACCGGCUGUACAGUAACGACGGUCGGUUCCUGCAAAAUCGCGGCCGUGUCGAUGCGCCGCUGCUAACGGUCAAACUAGUAUAUAUAAAAUAUAGAUACGUUUAUGAUAUCAUCUGCGUCCUGGGAAUGAAUCGAUCGGAGACAAAUUAUUUCGUUUUUGAAAAUUUAAUCCUAACAAUACGUUAAUCAAAAUAUACCCCACAUUAUUAAGAUCAAUCCAGUUAAUGUUUUAUUGUUUGUAAAUACAAAUUUGAAAUAAAAAACGCAUUUUUAUCAAAA
Molecule: long non-coding RNA, 5558 nt
Organism: Aphis gossypii (cotton aphid)
Lineage: Eukaryota; Metazoa; Arthropoda; Insecta; Hemiptera; Aphididae
Exons: 7
Source: RefSeq, a predicted model, not a curated record